RNAcentral lists this transfer RNA (72 nucleotides) under Toxocara canis (dog roundworm). It matches the Rfam family "tRNA". Rfam says of the family: Transfer RNA (tRNA) molecules are approximately 80 nucleotides in length. Their secondary structure includes four short double-helical elements and three loops (D, anti-codon, and T loops). Lineage: Eukaryota; Metazoa; Nematoda; Chromadorea; Rhabditida; Toxocaridae. The record is from Rfam by way of RNAcentral.
GCUGCAGUAGCUCAAUGGUAGAGCUCCCGCUUCGCAUGCGGGUAGACCGGGGUUCGAUUCCCGGAUGCUUCC